This 429-nucleotide ribosomal RNA is filed under the name Acidobacteriota bacterium. Its description in RNAcentral is "Acidobacteria bacterium partial 16S ribosomal RNA". It matches the Rfam family "Bacterial small subunit ribosomal RNA", at positions 355 to 776 of the family's 1533-position model. Lineage: Bacteria; Pseudomonadati; Acidobacteriota. The record is from RNAcentral.
UGGGGAAUUUUGGACAAUGGGGGAAACCCUGAUCCAGCCAUCCCGCGUGUGCGAUGAAGGCCUUCGGGUUGUAAAGCACUUUUUGCAGGAAAGAAACGUCAUGGGUUAAUACCCCGUGAAACUGACGGUACCUGCAGAAUAAGCACCGGCUAACUACGUGCCAGCAGCCGCGGUAAUACGUAGGGUGCAAGCGUUAAUCGGAAUUACUGGGCGUAAAGCGUGCGCAGGCGGUUCGGAAAGAAAGAUGUAAAAUCCCAGAGCUAAACUUUGGAACUGCAUUUUUAACUACCGAGCUAGAGUGUGUCAGAGGGAGGUGGAAUUCCGCGUGUAGCAGUGAAAUGCGUAGAUAUGCGGAGGAACACCGAUGGCGAAGGCAGCCUCCUGGGAUAACACUGACGCUCAUGCACGAAAGCGUGGGGAGCAAACAGG